UGUGAAGUUUUUGAACUCUGCUGCUUCUCGGUGAUAAACGAUAUUUUCAGAAUUAUUAGAAUGUUUCCUCUACCAGUGAAUGUUGAUCCAGACAAGGAGAAGGAGCAUACAUAUGUAAAGAUGCGAAAUACUGUUCUUUUCUUUAUAUGUUCUAUUGGGAUCAUUAAGAUUAUUCCCUAUUUUCUUGGUAAAGUCAAGUUUGAACCAUAAGUCCAUGAUGAAGCCUGCCUGAAGUUGUU
Molecule: long non-coding RNA, 239 nt
Organism: Teleopsis dalmanni
Lineage: Eukaryota; Metazoa; Arthropoda; Insecta; Diptera; Diopsidae
Exons: 3
Source: RefSeq, a predicted model, not a curated record